GAUGAAGAACGCAGCGAAAUGCGAUAACUAGUGUGAAUUGCAGAUUUUAGUGAAUCAUCGAGUUUUUGAACGCACAUUGCGCCCCUUGGUAUUCCAUGGGGCAUGCCUGUUCGAGCGUCAUUUGUACCUUCAAGCUUUGCUUGGUGUUGGGUGUUUGUCCCUCGGGACUCGCCUUAAAGUCAUUGGCAGCCAGUGUUUUGGUUUUGAAGCGCAGCACAAGUCGCGAUUCAAGGCUAUCCGCCCGCUUCCACAAGCCUUUUUCACUUUUGACCUCGGAUCAGGUAGGGAUACCCGCUGAACUUAAGCAUAUCAAUAAGCGGAGGA
RNAcentral lists this unclassified non-coding RNA (324 nucleotides) under soil metagenome. Its description in RNAcentral is "partial contains 5.8S ribosomal RNA, internal transcribed spacer 2, and large subunit ribosomal RNA". The stretch from base 1 to 120 matches the Rfam family "5.8S ribosomal RNA", at positions 35 to 154 of the family's 154-position model. The record is from RNAcentral.